AACGAACGCUGGCGGCAUGCCUAACACAUGCAAGUCGAACGAGACCUUCGGGUCUAGUGGCGCACGGGUGCGUAACGCGUGGGAACCUGCCCUUAGGUUCGGAAUAACUCCCCGAAAGGGGUGCUAAUACCGGUUAAUGUCUUCGGACCAAAGAUUUAUCGCCUUUGGAUGGGCCUGCGUUGGAUUAGCUAGUUGGUAGGGUAAAAGCCUACCAAGGCGACGAUGCAUAGCUGGUCUGUGAGGAUGAUCAGCCACACUGGAACUGAGACACGGCCCAGACUCCUACGGGAGGCAGCAGUGGAGAAUAUUAGACAAUGGGCGAAAGCCUGAUCCAGCAAUGCCGCGGGAGUGAUGAAGGCCUUAGGGUUGUAAAGCUCUUUUACCCGGGAUGAUAAUGACGGUACCGGGAGAAUAAGCUCCGGCUAACUCCGUG
RNAcentral lists this ribosomal RNA (433 nucleotides) under uncultured bacterium. Its description in RNAcentral is "partial 16S ribosomal RNA". It matches the Rfam family "Bacterial small subunit ribosomal RNA", at positions 29 to 507 of the family's 1533-position model. The record is from RNAcentral.